RNAcentral lists this ribosomal RNA (411 nucleotides) under uncultured rumen bacterium. RNAcentral describes it as "bacterial SSU rRNA". It matches the Rfam family "Bacterial small subunit ribosomal RNA", at positions 509 to 916 of the family's 1533-position model. The record is from RNAcentral.
CAGCAGCCGCGGUAAUACGAAGGGGGCUAGCGUUGCUCGGAAUUACUGGGCGUAAAGGGCGCGUAGGCGGACAGUUAAGUGGGGGGUGAAAGCCCGGGGCUCAACCUCGGAAUUGCCUUCAAUACUGGCUGUCUUGAGUACGGGAGAGGUGAGUGGAACUCCGAGUGUAGAGGUGAAAUUCGUAGAUAUUCGGAAGAACACCAGUGGCGAAGGCGACUCACUGGCCCGUUACUGACGCUGAGGCGCGAAAGCGUGGGGAGCAAACAGGAUUAGAUACCCUGGUAGUCCACGCUCGUAAACGAUGAGUGCUAGUUGUCGGCUAUGCUAUGCUAUGUCGGUGACGCAGCUAACGCAUUAAGCACUCCGCCUGGGGAGUACGGUCGCAAGAUUAAAACUCAAAGAAAUUGACGG